RNAcentral lists this transfer RNA (58 nucleotides) under Dipodomys ordii (Ord's kangaroo rat). It matches the Rfam family "tRNA", at positions 8 to 63 of the family's 71-position model. From Rfam's summary of the family: Transfer RNA (tRNA) molecules are approximately 80 nucleotides in length. Their secondary structure includes four short double-helical elements and three loops (D, anti-codon, and T loops). Lineage: Eukaryota; Metazoa; Chordata; Mammalia; Rodentia; Heteromyidae. The record is from Rfam by way of RNAcentral.
UGGCUCAGUGGUAGAGUGCUUGCCUUGCAUGCAUGAGGGCCUGGGUUCGAUUCCUCAG